This 1137-nucleotide ribosomal RNA is filed under the name Bacillus sp. PMR02. Its description in RNAcentral is "bacterial SSU rRNA". It matches the Rfam family "Bacterial small subunit ribosomal RNA", at positions 32 to 1161 of the family's 1533-position model. Lineage: Bacteria; Bacillati; Bacillota; Bacilli; Caryophanales; Bacillaceae. The record is from RNAcentral.
GGAGGUAGGGGCGUGCUAUAAUGCAAGUCGAGCGGACUAAUGGGAGCUUGCUCCCGUUAGUUAGCGGCGGACGGGUGAGUAACACGUGGGCAACCUACCUGUAAGACUGGGAUAACUUCGGGAAACCGGAGCUAAUACCGGAUGACAUAAAGGAACUCCUGUUCCUUUAUUGAAAGAUGGCUUCGGCUAUCACUUACAGAUGGGCCCGCGGCGCAUUAGCUAGUUGGUGAGGUAACGGCUCACCAAGGCGACGAUGCGUAGCCGACCUGAGAGGGUGAUCGGCCACACUGGGACUGAGACACGGCCCAGACUCCUACGGGAGGCAGCAGUAGGGAAUCUUCCGCAAUGGACGAAAGUCUGACGGAGCAACGCCGCGUGAGCGAUGAAGGCCUUCGGGUCGUAAAGCUCUGUUGUUAGGGAAGAAUAAGUGCUAGUUGAAUAAGCUGGCACCUUGACGGUACCUAACCAGAAAGCCACGGCUAACUACGUGCCAGCAGCCGCGGUAAUACGUAGGUGGCAAGCGUUGUCCGGAAUUAUUGGGCGUAAAGCGCGCGCAGGCGGUUUCUUAAGUCUGAUGUGAAAGCCCCCGGCUCAACCGGGGAGGGUCAUUGGAAACUGGGAAACUUGAGUGCAGAAGAGGAAAGUGGAAUUCCAAGUGUAGCGGUGAAAUGCGUAGAGAUUUGGAGGAACACCAGUGGCGAAGGCGACUUUCUGGUCUGUAACUGACGCUGAGGCGCGAAAGCGUGGGGAGCAAACAGGAUUAGAUACCCUGGUAGUCCACGCUGUAAACGAUGAGUGCUAAGUGUUAGAGGGUUUCCGCCCUUUAGUGCUGAAGUUAACGCAUAAGCACUCCGCCUGGGGAGUACGGUCGCAAGACUGAAACUCAAAGGAAUUGACGGGGGCCCGCACAAGUGGUGGAGCAUGUGGUUUAAUUCGAAGCAACGCGAGAACCUUACCAGGUCUUGACAUCCUCUGACAACCCUAGAGAUAGGGCUUUCCCUUCGGGGACAGAGUGACAGUGGUGCAUGGAUUGUCGUCAGCUCGUGUCGUGAGAUGUUCGAUUAGUUCCGGCAGCGACGCACCCUUGAUCUAAGUUGCCAGCAAUCAGUUGGCACUCUAAGUGACUGCCGGUGACAA